This 21-nucleotide unclassified non-coding RNA is filed under the name Dictyostelium discoideum. Lineage: Eukaryota; Evosea; Eumycetozoa; Dictyosteliales; Dictyosteliaceae. The record is from RNAcentral.
AUCGGCUUGAAGUUUGGAAGU